AUACGGAGGAUGCAAGCGUUAUCCGGAUUUAUUGGGUUUAAAGGGUGCGUAGGCGGUUUGCUAAGCGGGAGGUGAAAUGCCGGCGCUCAACGUCGGAAGUGCCUCCCGAACUGGUGGACUUGAAUGACUCUGCCGUGGGAGGAAUGUGUAGUGUAGCGGGGAAAUGCUUAGAGAUUACACAGAACACCGAUUGCGAAGGCAUCUCACGAAGGGUUGAUUGACGCUGAGGCACGAAAGCGUGGGGAUCAAACAGGAUUAGAUACCCUGGUAGUCCACGCAGUAAACGAUGAUGGCUAACCGCUGGGCUUAUCAGUUCAGUGGCCAAGCGAAAGCGAUAAGCCAUCCACCUGGGGAGUACGACCGCAAGGUUCAAACUCAAAUGAAUUGGCGGGG
Molecule: ribosomal RNA, 393 nt
Filed under: uncultured bacterium
Lineage: Bacteria
Description: partial 16S ribosomal RNA
Rfam family: Bacterial small subunit ribosomal RNA
Source: RNAcentral